Molecule: transfer RNA, 76 nt
Filed under: Nitrospirae bacterium RBG_16_43_8
Lineage: Bacteria; Pseudomonadati; Nitrospirota
Also listed under: 2 other names
Description: tRNA-Phe
Rfam family: tRNA
About the family: Transfer RNA (tRNA) molecules are approximately 80 nucleotides in length. Their secondary structure includes four short double-helical elements and three loops (D, anti-codon, and T loops).
Source: RNAcentral
GGGCAGUUAGCUCAGUCGGUAGAGCAGAGGCCUGAAAAGCCUCGUGUCCGCAGUUCAAUUCUGCGACUGCCCACCA